Molecule: long non-coding RNA, 2615 nt
Filed under: Carassius auratus (goldfish)
Lineage: Eukaryota; Metazoa; Chordata; Actinopteri; Cypriniformes; Cyprinidae
Description: lncRNA (ENSCARG00000050034.1)
Source: RNAcentral
GUUGGGAAGAUGGCAGAUGACUACGGAGGACCACGACGAGAGUUUUUCAGGUUAAAAAUAAUUUACAUUUAUUUGACUUUUUUUUUAUUACUCUGAAUGACUACACAUGUUAAGUUUGGAUGACAUUAUUGUUCUAACAAUUGUAAUAAUGUGUCAUUACAUGUAUACAAACAGACUUCUCAUGGCAGAAGUGCAGGACUCACUUGGUAUAUUUGAGGUAAGACCUGAGAAUCUGAUCUUUGCAUAUAAUAAUAAAUACUACACUGCUGGAAAACUCUAUCAUGGUCUAUCAUGCACAAUGGACCUGGGGUCAGAUGUCUGUGUGACAUCUGUAACCAGAAAGCAGAUCUAAGCACAUUUAACACUGAAACAUUCCAGGAAGCAGAUUUGCAACACCAACUAAAAAAGGUAAACUAAAGUUUUCAACAUCACUUUAUAUAUUGUGUAAUGUGUAGCAUUAGAUAUUUUUUUCAUUUAUUGUCAUUGUUAGAUAUCUUAACGUUACAAUGUUGCAUUCGUUAUUUGAAGGUUCUGAAAAAGAAAGUGUACAAAUUAAAAAAAUAAUAAUAAUUCAAUAACACAAAUGUGACAUACUUGAUGAAAAGCAAAGUAAGGAUAAAAAAACAAGUACAAAUUCAGUUCUGUCUUUUCUGUAUUUAAUUUUUAAUGAAGGAAGAGAUGCUCUUUUAUUAUGCUCUUCUUCUUUGCAUAUGAGAGUGAUUGGGAAUGUGUUAUCUUUUAACAACCAUUGAUGUUUAUUAAGUCGUGUUUUAAUAAUGGUAACAGCUUCUUUCCAUCAUUGGUUUAUGAAGCAGACGGAGGUAAACUUUAAAGGAAUGUGUAGUUUUAUACAACCUUGCUGUGCAGUGAAACCACCCACCCAUACAGAGCCAUUUCCUAUCAUACACAGAACAUAAAAUAGUUUUACCCACUACAACUCAAUAUUCAACAUCACUUUCUUUAUUUAGAUAUUACAGUGCAAGACCACAGAGGAAAUGGAAGAGAUCAAGGGAGAACUUGGAGACUGGAUUCAAAUGUGUUCUCUGCAGCAGUGGCUGAUAUUCCAUCAAUUUAUGAACAAGUUGUCAGCCAAUACUUAUACCACAGAUAAAGAGCUAGACAUUACCUUUGAAGAAAUUCUGAUCUUCGCAACGGGAGCUGAUUCUGCACCACCUCGCGGUUUUCCCUCGAGUGUGAGAUCCAGUUCUACGAUCAAGAGCCUGGAAGCCAGCGGAUGCCAUACUCCUCAACCUGUGCCCUUGUUCUGUAUUUGCUAAGAGAAAGUAACUUGACACUACAAACAGUUAAUAUGGAAGACCGUAAGUUCUGUUUCCCCACUGACAACAUUGGGUACAGAUAAAAGAUCCAGUACCCCUGGGCUUUCCUUGCAGAGGUCCCCCAUCACUUGCCGUACCCACAACAUCAGAUGAGAGUGAAAGGCCCUCUAGGUCCCGUAGUGCCUCAAGAAAAAAGGAGGAACCAGAGACCACAGACAUUGUGGAGUGGCUGAUGUCUUUUUUUCAAGUGGCUUUUACCAAACCACACAUACUGAUGCUGAACUAGAUGAAGCUUACCACUUUGCUCUCAGCCUUGUGCCAAUGUUGCACAGAUUGGAUAAGGACAGGAGGCAAAAAGCCAAAAUAGAGAUCUUGAACACAUUACACAAACUAGAAAAAAAAACAACACCAGCAAACUGUUCCCCCAAAACAUGCAGCUGGUUGGCAACCAUUUCAUCCUCCAACAUACACGCCAAUAUAUCCACCCACUCAGGAAAUUACAGGGCAGUCCAGCUCCAGGCCAGCAGGUUUUCGGCCAAUUACCCUUCCUCCACAAGGUACACAAUGGGAAGACGAUAGCACUUAUGGGUCUUACCACUGAGACUUGUAGUCAGUCAAGUAAAACUGACUCGAUUGUACAUAAUUGAUGUAAAAAUGUAAAAGUGUGUUUUUUUAAUUAUUUUAAAAGUGCCUUUUAUUUAAAAUGUUGUGCCUAUUGGUUCUUUUGAUGAUUUUUACUGUUUUAUUUUGUCAAUUUGAAGUUGGUUAUUACAUAUAUUUGUUACUAAAACAAAUAUGAACCUUUGCUGUUUUUGAAAGCUGAAUGAUUCAAUGUUUAUUAUUACAAAUAAAAAGACAAAAAUGAGUUCAAGUUCAAGUUGAGAUUUAUUGUCAUAACGCUACAUUUGUGGACAUACAGUGGAACGAAAUGUGCCUCACAGGACCACAGUGCUACAUAAAUACAGACAUACAACAAUGAAGGAAAACAGUAAAAACCUACACAACACAACUAACACUGACAGAUUUGAACUAUAAAUAUAAAUGUUUACCUAUACAUAGACUGAAACAGAAAAAAUACAGGUGCUGGUCAUAUAAUUAGAAUACCAUCAUAAAGUUGAUUUAUUUCACUAUUUCCAUUCAAAAAGUGAAACUUGUAUAUUAUAUUCAUUUAUUACACACAGACUGAUAUAUUUUUAAUGUUAUUUCUUUUAAUUUUGACUUUAUAACUGACAACUAAGGAAAAUCUCAAAUUCAGUAUCUCAGAAAGUUAGAAUAUUGUGAAAAGGUUCAAUAUCGAAGACAUCUGGUGUCACACUCUAAUCAGCUAAUUAACUCAAA